GAUGAACGCUAGCGAUAGGCCUAACACAUGCAAGUCGAGGGGCAUCACAUGAAGUAGCAAUACGGAUGGUGGCGACCGGCGCACGGGUGAGUAACACGUAUGCAACCUGCCUUCAACAAGGGGAUAACCCGUUGAAAAACGGACUAAUACCCUAUAAUACAGGGGUCCCGCAUGGGGAUAUUUGUUAAAGAUUGAUCGGUUGAAGAUGGGCAUGCGUUCCAUUAGCUGGUUGGUGAGGUAACGGCUCACCAAGGCAACGAUGGAUAGGGGAACUGAGAGGUUUAUCCCCCACACUGGUACUGAGACACGGACCAGACUCCUACGGGAGGCAGCAGUGAGGAAUAUUGGUCAAUGGACGCAAGUCUGAACCAGCCACGUCGCGUGAAGGAAGACGGCCCUACGGGUUGUAAACUUCUUUUAUACGGGAAUAAAGUGCCCCACGUGUGGGGUUUUGCAAGUACCGUAUGAAUAAGGAUCGGCUAACUCCGUGCCAGCAGCCGCGGUAA
Molecule: ribosomal RNA, 506 nt
Filed under: uncultured bacterium
Lineage: Bacteria
Description: bacterial SSU rRNA
Rfam family: Bacterial small subunit ribosomal RNA
Source: RNAcentral